This 253-nucleotide ribosomal RNA is filed under the name uncultured bacterium. RNAcentral's name for it is "partial 16S ribosomal RNA". It matches the Rfam family "Bacterial small subunit ribosomal RNA", at positions 524 to 776 of the family's 1533-position model. The record is from RNAcentral.
CACGUAGGAGGCUAGCGUUAUUCGGAUUUACUGGGCGUAAAGCGCGUGCAGGCGGUUCGGUAAGUUGGAUGUGAAAGCUCUCGGCUUAACUGGGAGAGGUCGUUCAAUACUGUCGGACUUGAGAGUGGUAGAGGGAGGUGGAAUUCCGGGUGUAGUGGUAAAAUGCGUAGAUAUCCGGAAGAACACCAGUGGCGAAAGCGGCCUCCUGGACCAUUUCUGACGCUCAGACGCGAAAGCUAGGGUAGCGAACGGG